AUUAAAGUGACAGAAAAAUGUGAGGAAUUUAAGCUUCCUUUAUGAUAAUUUCCUUUAAUA
This 60-nucleotide transfer RNA is filed under the name Amblyomma testudinarium. RNAcentral's name for it is "tRNA-Leu". RNAcentral also lists the same sequence under 1 other name. The record is from RNAcentral. Lineage: Eukaryota; Metazoa; Arthropoda; Arachnida; Ixodida; Ixodidae.